Molecule: long non-coding RNA, 691 nt
Organism: Bufo gargarizans (Asiatic toad)
Lineage: Eukaryota; Metazoa; Chordata; Amphibia; Anura; Bufonidae
Exons: 5
Source: RefSeq, a predicted model, not a curated record
CUAAUAUUUUUUCUUUUUUUUUUCUUUAUCAGUCAGACUCUAUGGAGGAGAGUUCUCCCGGUCAACCCAGAGCCAGAGGAACGGAGGAGAUGGAAGUUGGGGGUGGAAGAGAAACGCCAUCUCGUCCUGUUGCCAGUGAGAGGGGUCAUCAACGAUCUUCCCGAGGACGCCAUGGAGCACGCGGCGGUCGUGGUCGUGGCUCCCAAACCUCCACCAGAAGGCAUGAGGAGGACGUUGAACGAUUUUAUAUCGACAAUGAUCUCCUCAUCCAUAUGGUGGAGGAGCGUACACCGUUGUGGGACCACACCGACCGCCGCCAUGCAGACCAUGAUCUAACACUGCUCCUCUGGAACGAGAUAUGUGCGGCCAUUCUGCCCAACUGGGAUGACCUCCAAGAAAGGCAACAGGGCCAAUGCCGAGAUACGAUCAUGGUUCGGUGGCGCUCAAUCAGGGACCGCUACAAGAAGGCCUUUAAUGAGGAACUUUGGCGUCCGAGUGGGUCGGGAGGAACCUCAAGGCGUGAAUACCGCUAUUCUGCCGCCUUGGGGUUCCACGAAUGACCAUUGAGAUGCAAAGGCACAUCUUCAUCUCCGAGCAAGGCCGGGAGCUCUCCUUCCCGAUCACGACACCUCCUAUCAGUCAGACUCUAUGGAGGAGAGUUCUCCCAGUCAACCCAGAGCCAGAGGAACAG